RNAcentral lists this ribosomal RNA (462 nucleotides) under uncultured bacterium. Its description in RNAcentral is "partial 16S ribosomal RNA". It matches the Rfam family "Bacterial small subunit ribosomal RNA", at positions 28 to 507 of the family's 1533-position model. The record is from RNAcentral.
GACGAACGCUGGCGGCGUGCUUAACACAUGCAAGUCGAGCGGUAAGGCCUUUCGGGGUACACGAGCGGCGAACGGGUGAGUAACACGUGGGUGAUCUGCCCUGCACUUCGGGAUAAGCCUGGGAAACUGGGUCUAAUACCGGAUAUGACCUCCUAUCGCAUGGUGGGUGGUGGAAAGAUUUAUCGGUGCAGGAUGGGCCCGCGGCCUAUCAGCUUGUUGGUGGGGUAAUGGCCUACCAAGGCGACGACGGGUAGCCGACCUGAGAGGGUGACAGGCCACACUGGGACUGAGACACGGCACAGACUCCUACGGGAGGCAGCAGUGGGGAAUAUUGCACAAUGGGAGAAAGCCUGAUGCAGCGACGCCGCGUGAGGGAUGACGGCCUUCGGGUUGUAAACCUCUUUCAGCAGAGACGAAGCGCAAGUGACGGUACCUGCAGAAGAAGCACCGGCUCACUACGUG